GAGAGAGAGAUAGAGAGAGAGAGGGCAAAUUAUUGAAUAAUUUCCAAGAGAGAGAAAGAGAGGGAUUUGGUACUGGUUGAUGUAGUUUGGCCACUGUUAUAUAGGAAGAAAGAGGCUCUUAUUGAAUAAUUAGUAAAAUAAUUAAGCAAUAGUGUUUAUAAUAAUUAAAGGCCGAUGUAAACAUAUCUAAUUAAAGAAGAUAUAUUGAUUAGAAACCCUUUAACUCGCUCAAGAAUAAAGAUAGCUUUUGAAAUGCAUUUAUAUAGGGUUUCCCCUCAAAGCUUGCGGGUUUGUAUAGUAUUAUCGACACGGGCCAGCAAUGAG
This 324-nucleotide unclassified non-coding RNA is filed under the name Hevea brasiliensis (rubber tree). The record is from RNAcentral. Lineage: Eukaryota; Viridiplantae; Streptophyta; Magnoliopsida; Malpighiales; Euphorbiaceae.